CUUUCAGAAUUGAUUUUUCUCCAACUGAAAUGAUCGAAACUCUGGACGAGGUCUGUCAUUAUGUCACACAAAGCAGAGAGCCAUGGACCAAGCUUCAUGUGAUGCAGCAAUGCAGAGGGGAGGAGAGAUUUGAAAGAGGAAAUCUCAUGCCAAGGUCCCCACGCCACAAUGGAAUACUGACAAACAUACAGCUGGAUUCAGUCGGCUCACCUAUGUAUUUUUUUGCCCGGAGUUUUUAAGUGAAGAGAAACAACAAAAGAAAAUACAACAUUUCUCCCAGACACACAAGGACUAAACAUCAUUUCUCGACCAGUUCUACCCCUCCCUCUGUCAUGGCCAUGAAUGGAAAGCAUGUUUUCUAAUCCUUUAAUCAUUCUCAGGGGACUUCUUUGAACCCUCUUCAAUUUGUCAACAUCCUUCUUGAAUUGUGGGCACCAGGACUGGACACAGGAUUCCAGCAGCGAUCGCAUCAGAGCCAAAUAUAGAGAUAAAAUAAGCUCUUUUCACUGUGCGUUAAUUGUCUGGAGGGGAAGGCUGCAUGG
Long non-coding RNA from Trachemys scripta elegans, 542 nucleotides. RefSeq lists it as uncharacterized. The transcript is spliced from 4 exons. NCBI's taxonomy places the organism in Eukaryota, Metazoa, Chordata, Testudines, Emydidae. The record is from RefSeq and is a predicted model, not a curated record.